RNAcentral lists this unclassified non-coding RNA (400 nucleotides) under Hevea brasiliensis (rubber tree). Lineage: Eukaryota; Viridiplantae; Streptophyta; Magnoliopsida; Malpighiales; Euphorbiaceae. The record is from RNAcentral.
GUGCACAAUUUUCUUAUGUUGCGCCAAUACACAUCAUACUUUGCAAAAACCAAAUUCUUUUGGCCAUAAGCCAAAUGUUGAGAUGCCUCAUGAUGAGGCCUACUAGCAAAGAUGUGAUCAUAUGUCUUGAGGACCUUCUCGGCUGCAUCAGCAGAUGAGGCAAUGAUUGUAGGUACUAGCCCUAGUCUCAUAUACAUAAUAGGACCAUGUUUUUGGGCUAGAUUUUGUAAAUCUUUGUGUGGAUUUUUGCCUAACAAAUGAAGAUGUCCUAAAAUGGGAAGCCCUGUUGGACCUGGAGGAUACCUUUUUCUCUUGUGAAUGUUUAGCAGCUCAUACAAGGCAUAUACAGAUAGACCAACCACUAGAAUUGUCCAUAUCAAAGUCAUUGAAUAAGAAGAGA